UACGUAGGGGGCAAGCGUUGUCCGGAUUCAUUGGGCGUAAAGAGCGUGUAGGCGGCCAGGUAGGUCGGUUGUGAAAACUGGAGGCUCAACCUUCAGAGGUCGACCGAAACCAUCUGGCUAGAGUCCGGAAGAGGAGAGUGGAAUUCCUGGUGUAGCGGUGAAAUGCGCAGAUAUCAGGAAGAACACCCGUGGCGAAGGCGGCUCUCUGGGACGGUACUGACGCUGAGACGCGAAAGCGUGGGGAGCGAACAGG
RNAcentral lists this ribosomal RNA (253 nucleotides) under uncultured bacterium. RNAcentral's name for it is "partial 16S ribosomal RNA". It matches the Rfam family "Bacterial small subunit ribosomal RNA", at positions 524 to 776 of the family's 1533-position model. The record is from RNAcentral.